RNAcentral lists this transfer RNA (66 nucleotides) under Thelaira macropus. RNAcentral's name for it is "tRNA-Leu". The record is from RNAcentral. Lineage: Eukaryota; Metazoa; Arthropoda; Insecta; Diptera; Tachinidae.
UCUAAUAUGACAGAUUAAUGUAAUAGGUUUAAGCUCUAUUUAUAAAGUACUUUACUUUUAUUAGAA